GGCUCAGUAACACGUGGAUAAUCCAACCUUAUGCCCGGAAUAAUCUUGGGAAACUGAGUCUAAUACCGGAUAAUUGAUAUUUUCUGGAAUAUAUCAAACAAAGUUUUAACGUGUAAGGAUGAGUUGGCGGCUGAUUAGGUAGUUGGUGGGGUAAAGGCCCACCAAGCCAACGAUCAGUAGGGGCCAUGAAAGUGGGGGCCCCGAGAGGGUCACUGAGAAAUUGGACCCAGCCCCACGGGGUGCAGCAGGCGCGAAACCUCUUCAAUGCACGACAGUGUGAAAGGGGGAUUCUACGUGCUUAUGCAUAGCAUAGGCUUUUGCAUAGUGUAAAUAACUAUGCGAAUAAGGGUGGGAAAGACCGGUGCCAGCAGCCGCGGUAACACCGGCGCCCCAAGUGGCAAUCACAUUUAUUGGGCCUAAAGCAUCCGUAGCUGGAUAAAUAACUCUUUUGUGAAAUCUUUUUGCUUAACGAAAAGGCGUGCAGGAGAAACUGUUUAUCUAGAGACCGGGAGAGGUUAGAGGUAUUCUUAGGGGAGCGGUAAAAUGCUAUAAUCCUGGGAGGAUCACCAAUGGCAAAGGCAUCUAACCAGAACGGAUCUGACAGUGAGGGAUGAAGGCUAGGGGAGCAAAACGGAUUAGAUACCCGAGUAGUCCUAGCUGUAAACGCUGUGUGCAAGGUAUUGCAUAUUUUUUAAGAUCUGCAGUAUCGAAGAGAAGUCGUUAAGCACACCGCCUGGAGAGUACGGUCGCAAGACUGAAACUCAAAGGAAUUGACGG
RNAcentral lists this ribosomal RNA (777 nucleotides) under uncultured archaeon. RNAcentral describes it as "bacterial SSU rRNA". It matches the Rfam family "Archaeal small subunit ribosomal RNA", at positions 87 to 871 of the family's 1478-position model. The record is from RNAcentral.